UGGGGAAUAUUGCACAAUGGGGGAAACCCUGAUGCAGCGACGCCGCGUGAAGGAAGAAGUAUUUCGGUAUGUAAACUUCUAUCAGCAGGGAAGAAAAUGACGGUACCUGACUAAGAAGUCCCGGCUAACUACGUGCCAGCAGCCGCGGUAAUACGUAGGGGGCAAGCGUUAUCCGGAUUUACUGGGUGUAAAGGGAGCGUAGGCGGCAGGGCAAGCCAGAUGUGAAAGGCGGGGGCUCAACCCCCGGACUGCAUUUGGAACUGUCCGGCUGGAGUGUUGGAGAGGUAAGCGGAAUUCCUAGUGUAGCGGUGAAAUGCGUAGAUAUUAGGAGGAACACCAGUGGCGAAGGCGGCUUACUGGACAAUAACUGACGCUGAGGCUCGAAAGCGUGGGGAGCAAACAGG
Molecule: ribosomal RNA, 404 nt
Filed under: uncultured bacterium
Lineage: Bacteria
Description: bacterial SSU rRNA
Rfam family: Bacterial small subunit ribosomal RNA
Source: RNAcentral